RNAcentral lists this ribosomal RNA (301 nucleotides) under uncultured bacterium. Its description in RNAcentral is "partial 16S ribosomal RNA". It matches the Rfam family "Bacterial small subunit ribosomal RNA", at positions 509 to 809 of the family's 1533-position model. The record is from RNAcentral.
CAGUAGCCGCGGUAAUACAGAGGGUGCAAGCGUUAAUCGGAAUUACUGGGCGUAAAGCGCGCGUAGGUGGUUUGUUAAGUUGGAUGUGAAAUCCCCGGGCUCAACCUGGGAACUGCAUCCAAAACUGGCAAUCUAGAGUAUGGUAGAGGGUGGUGGAAUUUCCUGUGUAGCGGUGAAAUGCGUAGAUAUAGGAAGGAACACCAGUGGCGAAGGCGACCACCUGGACUGAUACUGACACUGAGGUGCGAAAGCGUGGGGAGCAAACAGGAUUAGAUACCCGUGUAGUCCCUGUCUCUUAUAU